This 246-nucleotide ribosomal RNA is filed under the name uncultured bacterium. Its description in RNAcentral is "partial 16S ribosomal RNA". It matches the Rfam family "Bacterial small subunit ribosomal RNA", at positions 115 to 354 of the family's 1533-position model. The record is from RNAcentral.
CGGUACGGUACUCGACCAAGAGACUGGAUAACACCUGGAAACAGAUGCUAAUACCGGAUAACAACACUAGACGCAUGUCUAGAGUUUAAAAGAUGGUUCUGCUAUCACUCUUGGAUGGACCUGCGGUGCAUUAGCUAGUUGGUAAGGUAACGGCUUACCAAGGCAAUGAUGCAUAGCCGAGUUGAGAGACUGAUCGGCCACAUUGGGACUGAGACACGGCCCAAACUCCUACGGGAGGCAGCAGGG